UUUCAGGUGAUUUUCUAGAAGUAGAAAUCACACCCACUGUGGUUUUAGUUCUAUUAUUGAAGAUUCUUCAUAAGAAGCUAUAGAAACUAGACAUUUCUUUUAAACUACACAUUCCUAAAAUCAUAGCCAUGAUUUUCUUUUCAUUCUUAUUCCUGUAGGUUUUGGAAAAUGCAGGUGGCUCAGAGAAGGUAAAACUCCCUGUUCAGAAUUUCCAACACAGUAAUUACGAUGAUCUUUUUAAAGAUGCUACAGAAAGUGAGAGUGAGGGCACCCUGGCCACGGGUGGCUUGUUUCUCAGAGACAAGUGGAGCAGUGAGGAUGAAGAGCUUCCUGGACCGUCCCGGACUGUCCCACCUCAGCUUGCCGGUACGACCUCAUCCUAUUGCUAUUAGCACAUUCUUGAAGAGGCUGUAUUUCAGAGGUAGGAACGAAGACAUUUCUAAUAUGAAUGCAGGAAAGAGCUGGGAAAAACUUUUUUAGAUGGGGAAAGCAUGGUUUCCUAGGUUUUUUUUUUUUUUUUUUUUUUUAAGAAUGAAGAAAAUGCUCCACAUCCCACCUUCGUAAGGGUAAAUUUCUCCCUUUCUUUGAGUAUUUUAAUAUAUCAAUGUCAGCUU
This 614-nucleotide long non-coding RNA is filed under the name Mustela putorius furo (domestic ferret). Its description in RNAcentral is "lncRNA (ENSMPUG00000025811.1)". The record is from RNAcentral. Lineage: Eukaryota; Metazoa; Chordata; Mammalia; Carnivora; Mustelidae.